This 327-nucleotide ribosomal RNA is filed under the name Triticum aestivum (bread wheat). RNAcentral describes it as "partial small subunit ribosomal RNA". The record is from RNAcentral. Lineage: Eukaryota; Viridiplantae; Streptophyta; Magnoliopsida; Poales; Poaceae.
AUGUGGUCGAGUUCAGCUCGAAUCAGUACGGGUGCCGUUUUAUACAGCAGAAACAUGAAACAACUUCUAUUGAAGAGAAACAUGAUUUUUUUUUCUCCAGAAAUACUUCCCCAAGCAGGAAUGUUGAUGACUGAUGUUCUUGGAAACUAUGUUAUACAGAAGUUCUUCAAGUACAGGACCGAACCAAUAAAGAAGCAAUUGGCAGGCCUACUCAAGGGUCAUGGAUUAACACUGAGUCUUCAAAUGUAUCGUUGCUGGGUGAUUCAGAAGACUUUAGAAAUAGUUGGUGUGGAGCAACAAACACAAAUGGCUUUGGGGCUUGAUUGA